GAUGAACGCUGGCGGCGUGCUUAACACAUGCAAGUCGAACGAGAAAUGUAGACGGAAACCUUCGGGCGGAAGCCUUCAUUUCGAGUGGCGGACGGGUGAGUAACGCGUGGGUAACCUGCCUCAUACAGGGGGAUAACAGUUGGAAACGACUGUUAAUACCGCAUAAGACCACAGCAUCGCAUGAUGCGGGGGUAAAAACUCCGGUGGUAUGAGAUGGACCCGCGUUCGAUUAGCCAGUUGGCGGGGUAACGGCCCACCAAAGCGACGAUCGAUAGCCGAUCUGAGAGGAUGACCGGCCACAUUGGGACUGAGACACGGCCCAAACUCCUACGGGAGGCAGCAGUGGGGAAUAUUGCACAAUGGGGGAAACCCUGAUGCAGCGACGCCGCGUGAGUGAAGAAGUACUUCGGUAUGUAAAGCUCUAUCAGCAGGGAAGAAAAUGACGGUACCUGAGUAAGAAGCCCCGGCUAACUAUGUG
RNAcentral lists this ribosomal RNA (478 nucleotides) under uncultured bacterium. Its description in RNAcentral is "partial 16S ribosomal RNA". It matches the Rfam family "Bacterial small subunit ribosomal RNA", at positions 28 to 507 of the family's 1533-position model. The record is from RNAcentral.